This 27-nucleotide non-coding RNA is filed under the name Mus musculus (house mouse). Lineage: Eukaryota; Metazoa; Chordata; Mammalia; Rodentia; Muridae. The record is from RNAcentral.
UAGCAUCUGUGCAUCUUAGAGCUGAGC